This 243-nucleotide ribosomal RNA is filed under the name uncultured Actinomycetales bacterium. Its description in RNAcentral is "partial 16S ribosomal RNA". It matches the Rfam family "Bacterial small subunit ribosomal RNA", at positions 88 to 334 of the family's 1533-position model. The record is from RNAcentral. Lineage: Bacteria; Bacillati; Actinomycetota; Actinomycetes; Actinomycetales.
UACUCGAGUGGCGAACGGGUGAGUAACACGUGGGUGAUCUGCCCUGCACUUCGGGAUAAGCUUGGGAAACUGGGUCUAAUACCGGGUAGGAGCCAUCUUUAGUGUGGUGGUUGGAAAGUUUUUUCGGUGUAGGGUGAGCUCGCGGCCUAUCAGCUUGUUGGUGGGGUAAUGGCCUACCAAGGCGGCGACGGGUAGCCGGCCUGAGAGGGUGUACGGCCACAUUGGGACUGAGAUACGGCCCAG